Molecule: ribosomal RNA, 1220 nt
Filed under: human gut metagenome
Description: bacterial LSU rRNA
Rfam family: Bacterial large subunit ribosomal RNA
Source: RNAcentral
UACCGAACCCUAUCAAACUUCGAAUACCGGAUAAUUGAUGAUCGGGAGUCAGACAGUGUGAGAUAAGUUUCAUUGUCGAAAGGGAAACAGCCCAGAUCUACGACUAAGGUCCCAAAGUUCAAGUUAAGUGGAAAAGGAUGUGCAAUUGCGUAGACAACCAGGAUGUUGGCUUAGUAGCAGCCAUUCAUUCAAAGAGUGCGUAAUAGCUCACUGGUCGAGUGAUUGUGCGCCGAAAAUGUAACGGGGCUAAACUUGACACCGAAGUCUAGGCAGAAGGAAACUUCUGGGUAGGGGAGCAACGUGUACGGGCAGAAGCAGAAGCGGAAGCGACUGUGGACUGUACAGGAGAGAGAAUGCCGGCAUGAGUAGCGAGAGCAAAGUGAGAAUCUUUGCCGUCGAAAGCCUAAGGUUUCCUGAGGAAGGCUCGUCCUCUCAGGGUAAGUCGGGACCUAAGCCGAGGACAAUAGUCGUAGGCGAUGGACAAUCGGUUAAUAUUCCGAUACCGCCGAGCAACCGGAUGCAGUGACACAGAAGGAUAGGCAGAGCGUGGCGAUGGUAGACCACGUCCAAGCAGUGAGGCUGUUGUGUAGUGAAGUACGCACAACGUAAGGCUGGGCUGUGAUGGGGAACGAUUACGAUCGGUAAGCUGCUGAAUUCACGCUGGCGAGAAAAGCUGCUACGAAGCGAAGGCGCCCGUACCGCAAACCGACACAGGUAGGCGAGGAGAGAAUCCUAAGACGAGCGGGAGAACCCUUGUUAAGGAACUCGGCAAAAUGACUCCGUAACUUAGGGAGAAGGAGUGCCCAGGAAUGGGCCGCAGAGAAUAGACCCAAGCGACUGUUUACCAAAAACACAGGUCUGUGCGAAGUAGAGAUACGACGUAUACGGGCUGACACCUGCCCAGUGCCGGAAGGUUAAGGGGAAAUGUUAGGGCAACCGAAGCAUGGAACUUAAGCCCCGGUGAACGGCGGCCGUAACUAUAACGGUCCUAAGGUAGCGAAAUUCCUUGUCGGGUAAGUUCCGACCCGCACGAAUGGUGUAACGAUUUGGGUACUGUCUCAACAAGGGACCCGGCGAAAUUGUAGUAUGUGUGAAGAUGCACAUUACCCGCGAUAGGACGGAAAGACCCCGUAGAGCUUUACUGUAGUUUAACAUUGGAUUCCGGUAACAUAUGCACAGGAUAGGUGGGAGGCGGAGAAGCAGUGAUUUCGGUUGCUGCA